RNAcentral lists this ribosomal RNA (468 nucleotides) under uncultured bacterium. RNAcentral's name for it is "partial 16S ribosomal RNA". It matches the Rfam family "Bacterial small subunit ribosomal RNA", at positions 28 to 507 of the family's 1533-position model. The record is from RNAcentral.
GACGAACGCUGGCGGCGUGCUUAACACAUGCAAGUCGAACGGAAAGGCCCUGCUUUUGUGGGGUGCUCGAGUGGCGAACGGGUGAGUAACACUUAAGUAACCUGCCCUUGCCUUUGGGAUAACUUCAGAAAACUGGGGCUAAUCCCGGAUAGGAGCUCCUGCUUCAUGGUGGGGGUUGGAAAGUUUCGGCGGUUGGGGAUGGACUAGCGGCUUAUCAGCUUGUUGGAGGGGUAGUGGCUUACCAAGGCUUUGACGGGUAGCCGGCCUGAGAGGGUGACCGGCCACAUUGGGACUGAGAUACGGCCCAGACUCCUACGGGAGGCAGCAGUGGGGAAUAGUGCACAAUGGGCGGAAGCCUGAUGCAGCAACGCCGCGUGCGGGAUGACGGCCUUCGGGUUGUAAACCGCUUUCGCCUGUGACGAAGCGUGAGUGACGGUAAUGGGUAAAGAAGCACCGGCUAACUACGUG